UUGCGAUCGUAGAGGGGCAGAAGGCAAGGUGAAACCCUAGUUUCACCAACUUCAUCAAAUUCAGUAGGAAUCUCAAUGAAAAUCGGAUGCAUGAACCUCAAUUUGCAAACAUCUAACCUUGUUCAGUAAAGUGGUAUGACAUAGAUGGGAAACAACGGGUCACAAGGAUAGCAUGGAAGACAACACCUCUAUGGAAAAAGGUGAGUGACGCUUUACUCAUGUAGCAUGUUUUAUUAAUUAUAUAAAUACCUUUGUGAAAAUAUUUAUAUGGUGUGCGGUAAGAAUUGUAGAGGAGAGUUAAUCUUAGUACGAAGUUGUGUGAUAAUGGUAAUUAUUGUCGGUGAUAUAAAUAUCCGAGUUUAUUAGUAUGAUUAAAUCAUAAACAAGGUGAUGGAAGUAAGAUGCAGAUACUGGGAAUAAUGAGCAGUGUAGACUUACCACAAGAUCGUUUAUUGAGUAUUGAGUAUAAGGUAUGUGAUCUUUAUAUAUAUUUAGUUUGUCUAAUAUACGAAGUAAAGGAAUUGGAACUAAUAGGGAUAAGAUUAUUGGAAACAGGGUUGGUGGAUUAAACCAAGGGGUGGUAAGUAUCGAGUAUGGGAUUUUUGUAAUAUUAAAAGGGAUUUAAUCGUGAUUUAUGAAUUGACUAGUACGGAAGGAAUUGUUUAUAAGUAGUCUAUUAUCGGAUGGUCAUAUGCAUGACUAGGGAGGUGUGUUAAUUGAGUUGAAGUGAAUAGGAUGGUAUGUAGGUAUGAAGAAUUGGUGUCAUGGUGAGUUUAAAUCGUAUAAACUAGUAUGCAUGAUGUGUAUGGAAAAUACAUAUAUAUAUAUAUAUAUACAUAUGCAUGUUCAUAGUUAUGCGAAAGGCGUACAUUAUGUGAUAGUUAAAUAGAUGUAUAUAAACGGUUGGCACCCUUUUUACGAAGAUGUAGUACUUGAACAUGUUGAGAUUACGGGUUUGCUAACCAAGUUAUUAUUGAGUAUGUUUGAAAGUGCAGGUUAUGUAUGUCGGACUUUCGAAGUGUUGAUAUAGAAAUAAAAUGAUUGAAUAAUGGAAGGUUAAUUGGGUGGAAGUAACUUAUGCGGUUAGAAUACGCUAUGGACGUUUUAGUUUAUACAAUAUUUUAUGCUUGGUCGUCAUCAUCUACUAACGGGUAAAUCCUCAAUUUAGGCGACUUGGAGAAUCGGAGCGAGCGCUGUUCAUGUUAUGUCAUACCAAACGCUUCCGCUAGCUUGUCCAAAUGUUUUUGGUCCAAAAAUUUUUGUAACGGUUUUUAGUAGUAUUUUGUUGAACGAAUUGUAGAAUUGUAUCUAGUUUGAUUAUGAUUAAAACAGGGGUAUGCCCGUUUUACGGACGGGUCAUGCCCAAAUUUUGUUAAAAUUAAUGCAUAUGUUAUUGAUAUCA
Helianthus annuus (common sunflower) is the source of this 1402-nucleotide long non-coding RNA. RefSeq lists it as uncharacterized. The record is from RefSeq and is a predicted model, not a curated record. Lineage: Eukaryota; Viridiplantae; Streptophyta; Magnoliopsida; Asterales; Asteraceae. The transcript has 3 exons.